GUCGAACGGCAGCACGGAGCUUGCUCUGGUGGCGAGUGGCGAACGGGUGAGUAAUAUAUCGGAACGUACCCUGGAGUGGGGGAUAACGUAGCGAAAGUUACGCUAAUACCGCAUACGAUCUAAGGAUGAAAGUGGGGGAUCGCAAGACCUCAUGCUCGUGGAGCGGCCGAUAUCUGAUUAGCUAGUUGGUAGGGUAAAAGCCUACCAAGGCAUCGAUCAGUAGCUGGUCUGAGAGGACGACCAGCCACACUGGAACUGAGACACGGUCCAGACUCCUACGGGAGGCAGCAGUGGGGAAUUUUGGACAAUGGGCGAAAGCCUGAUCCAGCAAUGCCGCGUGAGUGAAGGAGGCCUUCGGGUUGUAAAGCUCUUUUGUCAGGGAAGAAACGGUGAAGGCUAAUAUCCUUUGCUAAUGACGGUACCUGAAGAAUAAGCACCGGCUAACUACGUGCCAGCAGCCGCGGUAAU
This 468-nucleotide ribosomal RNA is filed under the name uncultured bacterium. Its description in RNAcentral is "bacterial SSU rRNA". It matches the Rfam family "Bacterial small subunit ribosomal RNA", at positions 61 to 524 of the family's 1533-position model. The record is from RNAcentral.